GACGAACGCUGGCGGCGUGCUUAACACAUGCAAGUCGAACGAAGUGGCGAACGGGUGAGUAACGCGUAAUCAACCUGCCCUUCAGAGGGGGACAACAGUUGGAAACGACUGCUAAUACCGCAUACUGAAGGAGGGGUUUGCGUCGGAUUAGCUAGUUGGAGGGGUAACGGCCAACCAAGGCGAUGAUCAGUAGCCGGGCUGGAAGGAUGGACGGCCCAGUUUGGACUGAGAAACGGCCCAAGCCCCUACGGGAGGCAGCAGUGGGGAAUCUUCCGCAAUGGACGAAAGUCUGACGGAGGAACGCCGCGUGAGUGAUGACGGCCUUCGGGUUGUAAAUCUCUGUUAAUCGGGACGCGGUACCGGAAUAGAAAGCCACGGCUAACUACGUGCCAGCAGCCGCGGUAAUAC
RNAcentral lists this ribosomal RNA (408 nucleotides) under uncultured bacterium. Its description in RNAcentral is "partial 16S ribosomal RNA". It matches the Rfam family "Bacterial small subunit ribosomal RNA", at positions 28 to 526 of the family's 1533-position model. The record is from RNAcentral.